Molecule: non-coding RNA, 190 nt
Filed under: Clostridium carboxidivorans
Lineage: Bacteria; Bacillati; Bacillota; Clostridia; Eubacteriales; Clostridiaceae
Also listed under: 1 other name
Source: RNAcentral
UGAAUAAUAAUAGUAUUAGGUGCUGCCAUUUAUUAAAAAUGCAGUUAAAAGGGAAAGUGGAAGAACCACUGCAGCCCACCGCUACUGUGAGGAUGAUGAAACCUUAUUAUGCCACUGGAUAAUUUAUCUGGGAAGACAAGGGAGUAAAAUGAAUCCGAGCCAGGAAACCUGCCUGAUAUUUGUUGAUUCU